GGGGGGAAAAUAGAAAGGGAAAAGAAAGGAAGGGGAAAGAGGGAAGAUGGGGGAAAAUGGAGAACAGGAAGGGAGACAGAGGACGAGGGAGAAGAAGAGAGGGGGAGGAACAACGCUAUGGAGCUUGGCGCCGCUGCCGAGCUGCUGUCGCAGAGAAGAAAGGGAGAGGCGAACGUGACCCACGGAGGAGAGGAAGGAGCUGCCGUCGAGCCACGCCCCUUUGCCUUGUUCGUGUAUCGCCGUUGCUGUUCGCUGAGGGUGAGACGCGAAGAGAAGAUGCUGACCCGCACCAUCGUGCCUCGCUAUCUUCGUCGAGCCUUCAUCAUUGUCGCUCCCUAUUCCCGUUGCCAUCAGGGUUUGCUGCCGCUGCCAUUGAGAGUGACGCAGCAGAGGAGGAGUCGUUCCUCUUCCGCCGCCGUCGCCGGAGACGUUGGUUGCUGCUGUUCAUAUGGUUGUUGGAAUCGUUACAGCUAGAACUUGUCACCGGGGGAGAGAAGCGGCUGCACCAUCCUCUUCGUUUUGACAUUGAACCUCUAUUCCUAACCCUUAUUAUGGUGUUAUGCUGAAAUUGCCGAAAUUGCCAUUGCUGCGAGCGUAACCAGAAUUGAUGCUGCUGCCGCCGUCUCGGUUGCGUUGAAAUCGCUGCUGCAGUUGCCAAUUUAGACUAAGCAGGGAUUGUUGCGUUAAACUAUGCGAUUGCGACAUCGAGCGACAGGUUUGAAGACGCAAUUUGAAGCUGCGAGCGAUCAGUAGGCUUUCUUUAUGGUUUUAAUUGCUUUCAUAGAGUUCCCUCACUCUUGUCCUUUGAGAUUUUAUUUUACAUAGAGGGGUAGGUUUAGUAUAUUGUAU
This is a non-coding RNA of Arachis ipaensis, 849 nucleotides long. The record is from RefSeq and is a predicted model, not a curated record. Lineage: Eukaryota; Viridiplantae; Streptophyta; Magnoliopsida; Fabales; Fabaceae.